CCUACGGGUGACUGCAGUGAGGAAUAUUGGUCAAUGGCCGGAAGGCUGAACCAGCCAAGCCGCGUGCAGGACGAAGGUGCCAAGCAUUGUAAACUUCUUUUGUCAAGGGACAAAAUCAGGCUCGAGAGCCUGACCGAGGGUAUUUGACGAAAAAGCAUCGGCUAACUCCGUGCCAGCAGCCGCGGUAAUACGGAGGAUGCGAGCGUUAUCCGGAUUUAUUGGGUUUAAAGGGUGCGUAGGUGGUUAAUUAAGUCAGCGGUGAAAGUUUGUGGCUCAACCAUAAAAUUGCCGUUGAAACUGGUUGACUUGAGUAUAUUUGAGGUAGGCGGAAUGCAUGGUGUAGCGGUGAAAUGCAUAGAGAUCACGCAGAACUCCGAUUGCGAAGGCAGCUUACUAAACUAUAACUGACACUGAGGCACGAAAGCGUGGGGAUCAAACAGGAUUAGAUACCCGAGUAGUC
RNAcentral lists this ribosomal RNA (460 nucleotides) under uncultured bacterium. RNAcentral's name for it is "partial 16S ribosomal RNA". It matches the Rfam family "Bacterial small subunit ribosomal RNA", at positions 338 to 795 of the family's 1533-position model. The record is from RNAcentral.